This is a long non-coding RNA of Hippocampus comes (tiger tail seahorse), 324 nucleotides long. RefSeq lists it as uncharacterized. NCBI's taxonomy places the organism in Eukaryota, Metazoa, Chordata, Actinopteri, Syngnathiformes, Syngnathidae. The transcript has 2 exons. The record is from RefSeq and is a predicted model, not a curated record.
CAAGGAUAAUGAGAGUGAUGUAUUGGGCAAAAAAAAAAAAAAAAAAAAACAACCAUUGGAGUGACACCUGUACGGCAAUGUCUUUGCAUCUCAUUGAAAAAGCAGAUGGAGACGAGCGGAGCAGAAUGGACUCUGCUAAAAACUAGGCUACAAGGAGGACAAUGCAGGAGUCAAUUUAAGGAGGAGCCAAAUGUAUAGAUAAUAGUGAUGUAUAUGGGUAUUUUGGGCAGCACAUGGAAUGUUGUUAACAGUCAAAAGACACGAACAAUUGACUGGCUCUGAUGACGAUGAUGAUAUCAUUUAGAGGCCACGAGGAACGAAAAC